UGCACUCAUGACUGUAAGUCGCAUUGGAUGAAAGCAUCUGCUAAAUGGCAUAUA
Molecule: non-coding RNA, 54 nt
Organism: Salmo salar (Atlantic salmon)
Lineage: Eukaryota; Metazoa; Chordata; Actinopteri; Salmoniformes; Salmonidae
Source: Rfam